RNAcentral lists this ribosomal RNA (460 nucleotides) under uncultured bacterium. RNAcentral's name for it is "partial 16S ribosomal RNA". It matches the Rfam family "Bacterial small subunit ribosomal RNA", at positions 339 to 795 of the family's 1533-position model. The record is from RNAcentral.
CUACGGGGCGCUGCAGUAGGGAAUAUUGGGCAAUGGACGCAAGUCUGACCCAGCCAUGCCGCGUGCAGGAUUGACGGCCCUAUGGGUUGUAAACUGCUUUUCUGCAGGAAGAACUCUCCCGACGUGUCGGGAGCUGACGGUACUGCAGGAAUAAGCAUCGGCUAACUCCGUGCCAGCAGCCGCGGUAAUACGGAGGAUGCAAGCGUUAUCCGGAUUUAUUGGGUGUAAAGGGUGCGCAGGCGGACCAGUAAGUCAGAGGUGAAAGCCCACAGCUCAACUGUGGAAAUGCCUUUGAUACUGUUGGUCUUGAGUGCAGUUGAGGUAGGCGGAAUGUGUCAUGUAGCGGUGAAAUGCUUAGAUAUGACACAGAACACCAAUCGUGAAGACAGCUUACCAAGCUGCUACUGACGCUCAGGCACGAAAGCGUGGGGAGCGAACAGGAUUAGAUACCCUCGUAGUC